Non-coding RNA from Podarcis lilfordi (Lilford's wall lizard), 74 nucleotides. NCBI's taxonomy places the organism in Eukaryota, Metazoa, Chordata, Lepidosauria, Squamata, Lacertidae. The record is from the annotation of a GenBank genome assembly.
GUCACUGGUAGCUCAGUUGGUAGAGAAUGAGACUCUUAAUCUCAGGGUUGUGGGUUCGAGCUCCACGUUGGGCA